This 253-nucleotide ribosomal RNA is filed under the name uncultured bacterium. Its description in RNAcentral is "partial 16S ribosomal RNA". It matches the Rfam family "Bacterial small subunit ribosomal RNA", at positions 524 to 776 of the family's 1533-position model. The record is from RNAcentral.
UACGUAGGGGGCUAGCGUUGUCCGGAAUCAUUGGGCGUAAAGAGCGUGUAGGCGGCCCGGUAAGUCCGCUGUGAAAGUCGGGGGCUCAACCCUCGAAUGCCGGUGGAUACUGUCGGGCUAGAGUGCGGAAGAGGCGAGUGGAAUUCCUGGUGUAGCGGUGAAAUGCGCAGAUAUCAGGAGGAACACCGGUGGCGAAGGCGGGUCUCUGGGCCGAUACUGACGCUGAGGAGCGAAAGCAUGGGUAGCGAACAGG